This 484-nucleotide ribosomal RNA is filed under the name uncultured bacterium. RNAcentral's name for it is "bacterial SSU rRNA". It matches the Rfam family "Bacterial small subunit ribosomal RNA", at positions 30 to 507 of the family's 1533-position model. The record is from RNAcentral.
AUUGAACGCUGGCGGCAUGCCUUACACAUGCAAGUCGAACGGCAGCACGGGAGCAAUCCUGGUGGCGAGUGGCGAACGGGUGAGUAAUAUAUCGGAACGUGCCCAGUCGUGGGGGAUAACGUAGCGAAAGCUACGCUAAUACCGCAUACGAUCUAUGGAUGAAAGCGGGGGAUCGCAAGACCUCGCGCGAUUGGAGCGGCCGAUAUCAGAUUAGGUAGUUGGUGAGGUAAAGGCUCACCAAGCCGACGAUCUGUAGCUGGUCUGAGAGGACGACCAGCCACACUGGGACUGAGACACGGCCCAGACUCCUACGGGAGGCAGCAGUGGGGAACUUUGGACAAUGGGCGCAAGCCUGAUCCAGCAAUGCCGCGUGCAGGAUGAAGGCCUUCGGGUUGUAAACUGCUUUUGUACGGAACGAAACGGUGAGCUCUAAUACAGUUUGCUAAUGACGGUACCGUAAGAAUAAGCACCGGCUAACUACGUG